UUAUUGUCAUAAAUUGACACAUUUUAUGAACAAAUUGUAAUAAAUAAUGAUAUUUUUUUUUUAUAAAAUAUUUAUUUGCAUUAUGUUUUAAUGCAUACCGGUUAAUUAUUAAAGGUUAUGGCAAAAACUACGUACAGUCAUCAGAGUUAUCAAGAACAUUUACGUUACUUGGAAAUGCUAAAGGAAGACUUUAAUAAGAAAUACUCAGAUGCACCGAUUUACGAUAAAACUGUAGAUGAUUUCGAUAUAGUCAAAGCUAUUGGAAAUGGGGCGUAUGGCGAGGUGUUUUUAGUAAGAGAUAAAAUUACUUUCACGUACCAUGCAAUGAAAGUUGUUGAAAAGAGUGUUGUAGUUGAGAGGAAUCAUGCUAAGCAUUUGAUUUUAGAAAAGAAAAUUCUCCAGUGUAUUCAAUUUCCAUUUGUAGUAACUCUAGACGUGGCUUUCAAAGACAAUCUGUAUCUUUAUUUUAUUCUACCAUAUAUUGCAGGAGGUGAAAUGUUUACAUACAUCCAAAAAUAUGGGAUUUUUUCCGAUAGUCUGACGAAAUUUUAUGCAUCCCAAGUAAUCUUAGCUCUGGAAUACUUGCACUAUUGUGAAGUGGUACACAGGGAUAUAAAGCCCGAAAAUAUUUUGAUUGAUUCCAACGGCUACCUUAAAUUAUGUGAUUUUGGAUUUUGUAAAGUGCUAAAGAAAAAGACAUGGACAUUGUGUGGAACUCCAGAAUACUUAGCGCCCGAAGUUAUUACAUCAAAAGGUUAUUCUUUUUCUGUUGAUUGGUGGGCUCUUGGUGUUUUGAUUUUUGAGAUGGAAGCCGGUCAUCCUCCAUUUUUUGCUUCUGAUCCUAAUAAACUUUAUGAAAAAGUUUUAGUAGGUAGUUACAAAUGUCCGGAGAACAUGUCUCCAGAAUGUAAGAAUUUGCUUAAAGGCUUAUUGCAAGUGGAUCCCUCAAAGCGGAUAGGCUCAUUAAAAGGUGGCAUUUACGAGAUCAAGAGCCAUACAUGGUUUAAUGGUCUAGAUUGGCAAGCAAUAUUUCAUCAAAAAUUAAUUGCCCCUUUUGUCCCUAUUUGUUCAUCACCAGGAGACACCAGCAACUUUCCAGAAAUUCCACAGCCUAAAUUAAGGAAGGUGUCAAAAUAUUUAUAUGAGGAAGAAUUUGCAGAAUUUUAAACUGUAAAAGACUAUUUUUCUGAUAAUGAUUUGAUUAUCAUUUAUGGACAUUAACAAAUUUUGCGAUAGAGUUAAGGUUCCUCCUACACUGAGUACUAUUAUAAAAAUCAAAAUAUACAAACCUGUUCUCGAA
This is a long non-coding RNA of Bombyx mori (domestic silkworm), 1300 nucleotides long. RefSeq annotates it as cAMP-dependent protein kinase catalytic subunit 1. NCBI's taxonomy places the organism in Eukaryota, Metazoa, Arthropoda, Insecta, Lepidoptera, Bombycidae. The transcript has a single exon. The record is from RefSeq and is a predicted model, not a curated record.